AAGAAGCUCUUUAGUUCUUUUAUUGUGUCUCUACUCUAUGAUUUCAACACAUAAUAAUGCGUGUAAGAUGGAGUUUUAUGUGCUGAAUAAUAGAUAAUAUGAUCUGACCAAGACAAAAUAUAUACACUAGCUGUUUUAUGUGCUCGAUCUUUUAUUAAACCCACUAAAUAGAGGUUUUAUUAUCUUCCAUGUAUGUGAUACACAGAGCUUCCAAACAAUGUCAAAUGCACAAGGACUUCAUUGCCUCCUCAUUUUUUUUUUUGAGCAAUUCAUUGCCUCCUCAUUUGAUUACCACACAAUCCUAGAAACUGUGUGCUAUUAAGAAUAGAAAAAUUGAAUUUUACUAAGAAUAUAGGUAGAUCAUGCAUUACGCCAAUUAUAUGCUGCUAACAUAAUCAAAUAAUUAGCAGAACAUUCGGCAUGAAUUGAAGAAACACACUUGAAGUCUAGUCUUGACAACCCAGAGUGGAUUUGUAAACAAGGUAGUUGCAGCUCCAGCACCAGCAGCAGCUACCAUAUUAGAUCCAACUGAAAGGUGAUGGCUUUCAUCUGCAUAAAUAUUAUAGGGGUUAUAUAUAAUUUGUACAUUUUUAUAACUCGCUUCUAGAACCUAUGAAUCCCACACAUAGUACGACACAAAUACAGGGACACCAUGAAAUUUUAAAAAGCAAGAUAUGACACAACCAAGAUACAUUAAGAGGCAUUCACAGUGUUGUGUGCAACAUAAAUGCAGUGUUUGUUAAAAGGCAUUCACAUUACUAAUUGCUCAUUAAUAUAUAAACAUAUCAAUAGUCAAUAUAUAAUGAUCACAAUUUAUUAAAAAGAUAUACUUAGUAAUCGUAAUAAGUAAGCAUAAUUACAUAUCUCUGGUGAUCGUGAUACUUCAGUGUUUUUGUAACAUUAAAAUGCACAAUGUUUGUUAAGAGACAUACACAUUACUAAUUGUUCAUUAAUACAUAAAAUAUCAAUUGUCAUUAUGCAAUAUAUGAUCACAAUUUCCCCCAAAAAAAACUUACUUAAGUAGGCAUUUUUUUAUUCUUAAAAUUUGGGUUAGACCUAACUCAACCCUUCAAAACUGGCUUUUAAGGUGAAGAAUGCCUCCUACUUAUAAACUCAUUUUCAGGCUAUAUCUCACACAUGUGGGACUCUUAACAGUUAUAUAUCUUUCACCAACGCAUAUCAAAACAUAUUAUUUCUACUAUGAAUAUGUCAAAGAAAAACACAAAAUUUUGUGUCUAUAGUUAGUAAGACAUAUAUAAAAUGUACCGUAUCCGAAUGACAAUCGUUUCUUCCUUUGGUAAGACGUAGCUGUUAAGUAUUGGGUGAAAUAUUUUUAAAAAGAAUAGAAAACUAUAAGGUUCUUCCUGGGCACGUGUUAGACACCGAUACUUUUCAAUUUUCAAACUAUCUUGGCUUCAUAGGAUAAAACAAAGCAAGUUGGCAUCUCCAAAAUUAAAAAUCAAUUAGUGGACUAUUUACAUCACAAAAAGAAUUAUGUUAACAACUCCCCCUAAUUUGGUUCAAUAUGAAAGUAAGCAAUGGACUAAC
This 1548-nucleotide long non-coding RNA is filed under the name Medicago truncatula (barrel medic). Its description in RNAcentral is "long non-coding RNA (MTRU_LNC005667)". The record is from RNAcentral. Lineage: Eukaryota; Viridiplantae; Streptophyta; Magnoliopsida; Fabales; Fabaceae.